CCUACGGGAGGCAGCAGUGAGGAAUAUUGGUCAAUGGCCGGAAGGCUGAACCAGCCAAGCCGCGUGAAGGACGAAGGUGCCAAGCAUUGUAAACCUCUUUUGUCAAGGGACAAAAUCAGGCUCGAGAGCCUGAACGAGGGUACCUGAAGAAAAAGCAUCGGCUAACUCCGUGCCAGCAGCCGCGGUAAUACGGAGGAUGCGAGCGUUAUCCGGAUUUAUUGGGUUUAAAGGGUGCGUAGGCGGGCUGUUAAGUGUGCGGUAAAAGCCCGGGGCUCAACCCCGGCGAGCCGUGGGAACUGGCGGUCUUGAGAUGUCGGAAGGUAUGCGGAAUGCGCAGUGUAGCGGUGAAAUGCUUAGAUAUGGCGCAGAACUCCGAUUGCGAAGGCAGCAUGCCGCCGGCGAUCUGACGCUGAGGCACGAAAGCGUGGGUAUCGAACAGGAUUAGAUACCCCUGUAGUC
RNAcentral lists this ribosomal RNA (459 nucleotides) under uncultured bacterium. RNAcentral's name for it is "partial 16S ribosomal RNA". It matches the Rfam family "Bacterial small subunit ribosomal RNA", at positions 338 to 795 of the family's 1533-position model. The record is from RNAcentral.